CUUUCUUUGCUGGCGACCGGCGCACGGGUGAGUAACACGUAUCCAACCUGCCCUUUACUCGGGGAUAGCCUUUCGAAAGAAAGAUUAAUACCCGAUAGCAUAAUGAUUCCGCAUGGUUUCAUUAUUAAAGGAUUCCGGUAAAGGAUGGGGAUGCGUUCCAUUAGGUUGUUGGUAAGGUAACGGCUCACCAAGCCUUCGAUGGAUAGGGGUUCUGAGAGGAAGGUCCCCCACAUUGGAACUGAGACACGGUCCAA
RNAcentral lists this ribosomal RNA (254 nucleotides) under uncultured bacterium. RNAcentral's name for it is "partial 16S ribosomal RNA". It matches the Rfam family "Bacterial small subunit ribosomal RNA", at positions 79 to 334 of the family's 1533-position model. The record is from RNAcentral.